AUUCCAGCUCCAAUAGCGUAUAUUUAAGUUGUUGCAGUUAAAAAGCUCGUAGUUGGAUUUCGGGUGAGGAUGACCGGCCUGCCGUUGCGGUACGCACUGGACGUUUUCAUCUUGUUGUCGGGGACGCGCUUCUGGGCUUCACUGUUCGGGACGCGGAGUCGGCGCUGUUACUUUGAAAAAAUUAGAGUGUUCAAAGCAGGCAAUCGCUCUGAAUACAUUAGCAUGGAAUAACGCUAUAGGACUCUGGUCCUAUUGUGUUGGUCUUCGGGACCGGAGUAAUGAUUAAGAGGGACAGUUGGGGGCAUUCGUAUUUCAUUGUCAGAGGUGAAAUUCUCAGACCAGCGGAAGACGAACCACUGCGAAAGCAUUUGCCAGGGAUGUUUUCAUUG
Molecule: ribosomal RNA, 389 nt
Filed under: Pyramimonadales sp.
Lineage: Eukaryota; Viridiplantae; Chlorophyta; Pyramimonadophyceae; Pyramimonadales
Description: partial small subunit ribosomal RNA
Rfam family: Eukaryotic small subunit ribosomal RNA
Source: RNAcentral